Molecule: ribosomal RNA, 403 nt
Filed under: uncultured bacterium
Lineage: Bacteria
Description: partial 16S ribosomal RNA
Rfam family: Bacterial small subunit ribosomal RNA
Source: RNAcentral
AUUGAACGCUGGCGGCAGGCCUAACACAUGCAAGUCGAGCGAGCGGCGGACGGGUGAGUAAUGUAUGGGGACUGCCCGUUAGCGGGGGAUAACUACUGGAAACGGUAGCUAAUACCGCAUACUAUCGGAUAACCUAUAUGGGAUUAGCUAGUAGGUGAGGUAAUGGCUCAUCUAGGCGACUAUCCUUAGCCGGUCUGAGAGGAUGAUCAGCCACACUGGGACUGAGCCACGGCCCAGACGCCUACGGAGGCAGCAGGGGGGAAUAUUGCACAAUGGGCGCAAGCCUGAUGCAGCCAUGCCGCGUGUAUGAAGAAGGCCCUAGGGUUGUAAAGUACUUUCAGUCGGGAGGCGUUACCGGCAGAAGAAGCACCGGCUAACUCCGUGCCAGCCGCCGCGGUAAUAC